ACAGUCUUUAGUAAACAUAUACACAUUCAAAAUUCAGUGACAUUAUAAAGUUUGUAUUUAUAUUUGUCUUCAUCUUCAUUAUAGGAACGAUUAGUGCUGGACCAACCACUUGUCCACCUAAUUCGAAAUUGAAGGAGUUGGGAGGGUCUACCUGCUAUUAUCCUGUGCCUACUUGUCAAAAUCCAAAUCCAAAAUUCAUAAAUGAUCCGCAAGGAUGUACAAUGGAUUUGAUAAGGGACUGUUGGUGUAAUGAAGGAUACUUGAUGAAUAAUGAUAAAUGUGUACUCAAAGAAAACUGUUCUUAAAAAUGAAGCUUGUUCAAUUUUUCAUUUUUGUAUAAAUAUAUUUGUUUAUUUAAAUAAAUAAUACUUCUGUCAGUAACUUUUCGAAUUUGUUUAUUAACAUAAUAUUAAUUGACUAUAUUAUAUGGACAAAGAAUUGUAAUCUUAAGUUUGUAAUGCAAAGACAGAUCUAUUAGUCUAAGAGACCAGUGACCUGUAACUUGUAGAUAUAUUUAGAAGUAUAGAUGUUUAGACACUGAAUCUCUCAGACCUGCCACUAAUAAGUGUGGUCCUGCUAAGCCUACCAAAUUAGACUUUUGAAUUACUCAUGAUGCAUCAGGUAUGGAAAAUAAUCUAACUUUUAUGAAAAGUAUUUCAUAAAGUUUUACUGUUCAAAAGCUUGAAAAUUUAUGAUUUCGGUGCUUAUAAUGUUACAGUAAACAAUUGCUCAUUAGCACAAUCAUAGAAAUAAAUAGAUUUCAUUAACCUUGAUUCUACAUGAAAUAAGGCCGGUUCGACAGAAAAAUGACUUUUGAGAGUUUAUUUUGUCCUUAUUACUUCGUACGGAUUGCAUCAGUACUUAUAACGGAAUAUAUUUAGUACUAUAAGCAAGUUGGUUAUUUCUUAUGUAGUGUGAGACAUUAUUCCUCACUGUUUUCAUUGAUAAUCAUUUUGUAUGUGUUUUUAGGAACUAAUAUAACUGUUUGUUUAAGUAGCGUUCACCGUAAUCACUUAUUUCUACUUUGACAUAAUUUACUUGAAGAUAUUUCUUGAUUUUAUUGUUCGGUAUAAACCACGGUACGUGCGCGCUUGUGCGUAAAAUUUUAGACUGAAGCCUCUGCAUAAGCUUGAACUGAGAUUUGGUUGCUGUCCACCACAACUUGAUCCCAUUGGUUCAUAUUGGCGUGAAGACGACUUUGAAAGGAAAAUUUGGAUUUACGUCCUAGUAACCAAUAGUGUUUGUAAUUCAUUUCUUAACUGUUUCUUAUGAGUAAGGAGAUGUGUUUUCAGGGUAGCCCUUCGUCUAAAUUGAUACCCAGGUACUUUACGCUGUCUGUUUGUGGUAGGGUUUGUCCGUUUAUCGUUACUGUAGGUGUAACUCCUCUACAUUUUGUUAAAAUAGUUUGGAGUUAUUUUGCUUCAUUAAUUUUGACUCCACAGAUUCUUGUCCAGUCGUUUAUUUUGAUAAGAUAUUAUUGUAGAUAAGCUGCUGCUACGGUAGGGUAUGUACGGUUUGCCAAUAUUGCUUUGUCAUCGACAAAUGAUGCGGUAGUUAUAUUUUCACUUGUCAGCAGAUGAGCAGAAAAAAAUAAGUAUAGAAUAGGUCCAAGCACGCUACGAUGGAUAUCUCAAGAACCUAAUACCUAGGGAAUACCUAACUCAUGUAGGAGCCCCCAGACUUGAACAACUGGGCUUAGCUUCGGCCAACUCUGGAAAACCCGGCUUUGGCAAACCAAUAAUGUCAUAAACCUGGUUGAAUUCUGGGUUGCUCGACCUCGGCCAUCCUACAGUCAGCCAGGCUUGGCAGAAUUCUGAGUAACCACCCUAUAGUCACACAAACUGGGCUGAGCUCUGGGUAACCCGACCUUGGCUAUCUUAUAGUCAGCCAAGCUUGUUAGAACUCUCAAUAACUAUAUAAAGUUUUGUUCUAAUAUCUUAUCUAUAAUAGAUAUCUGAACAUUAGAAGAAAUAAAUAAUUUUAUAUGAAUGAAAUUCUUGUAUGCAUAAAAAACCCAAAAAAUAGAAUAAUAAAAAAUAGUAUCAUUUAUUUAUUUAAGUAUUUAACUGGUAUUUUUAUGUACAAAAAUUAGUGGAGCGCAUUAAUAGAAAUUUCUGGUCCAUGGUUGCAGACCAGUCUUGGGUUUAUCUACGCAGGUAGGCCUGGUCUAGGCUUGCAAACGAAGCGAGGGACAUUGUUAUUGUCCCAGAGUUCCAUCUAGUUUGAGUCAAUAAUGGCUUCCAAGCUAGUGCCAGGGGUAUACAUACUUGGCCCAAGUCUGGGCCCAUCGUAAAAUCCUAUAAGGAAGUACAUGAAAUAUAUUUCAAAGUUGAUAUAAUUGAUUAUCCAUUUAGAACUCGAAAAUAAAGGUCACUCAUUUAAUUUUAGUAAACAAA
Diorhabda sublineata is the source of this 2396-nucleotide long non-coding RNA. RefSeq lists it as uncharacterized. The record is from RefSeq and is a predicted model, not a curated record. The transcript has 2 exons. NCBI's taxonomy places the organism in Eukaryota, Metazoa, Arthropoda, Insecta, Coleoptera, Chrysomelidae.